Molecule: long non-coding RNA, 5248 nt
Organism: Pan troglodytes (chimpanzee)
Lineage: Eukaryota; Metazoa; Chordata; Mammalia; Primates; Hominidae
Exons: 3
Source: RefSeq, a predicted model, not a curated record
CAUUUGCUUUGUAAAUAUUCCUCCUUCCCUUUAUUUUGAGCCUAUGUGUGUCUUUGCACGUGAGAUGGGGCUCCUGAAUACAGCACACCAAUGGGUCUUGACUCUUUAUCCAAUUUGCCAGUCUGUGUCUUUUAAUUGGGGCAUUUAGCCUAUUUACAUUUAAGGUUAAUAUUGUUAUGUGUGAAUUUGAUCCUGUCAUUAUGAUGUUAGCUGGUUAUUUUGCCUGUUAGUUGAUGCAGUUUCUUCAUAGUGUUGAUAGUCUUUACAAUUUGGUAUGUUUUUGCAGUGGCUAGUACUGGUUUUUCCUUUCCAUAUUUAGUGCUUCCUUCAAGAGCUCUUGUAAGGCAGGCCUGGUGGUGACAAAAUCUCAGCAUUUGCUUGUCUGUAAAGGAUUUUAUUUCUUUUUCACUUAUGAAGCUUGGUUUGGCUGGAUAUGAAAUUCUGGGUUGAAAAUUCAUUUCUUUAAGAAUGUUGAAUAUUGGCCCCCACUCUCUUCUGGCUUGUAGGGUUUCUGCAAAGAGAUCCACUGUUAGUCUGAUGGGCUUCCCUUUGUGGGUAUCCUGACCUUUCUUUCUGGCUGCCCUUAACAUUUUUUCCUUCAUUUCAACCGUGGUGAAUCUGAUGAUUAUGUGUCUCGGGGUUGCUCUUUUCAAGGAUUAUCUUUGUGGUGUUCUCUGUAUUUCCUGAAUUUGAAUGUUGGCCUGUCUUGCUAGGUUGGGGAAGUUCUCCUGGAUAAUAUCCUGAAGAGUAUUCUCCAACCUGGUCCCAUUCUCCCCCUCACUUUCAGGUACACCAAUCAAACGUAGGUUUGGUCUUUUCACAUAGUCCCAUAUGUCUUGGAGGUUUUGUUCGUUCCUUUUCAUUCUUUUUUCUCUAUUCUUGUCUUCAUACUUUAUUUCAUUAAGUUGUUCUUCAAUCCCUUAUAUCCUUUCUUCUUCUGCUUGAUUGAUUCGGCUAUUGAUACUUGUGUAUGCUUCUCAAAUUUCUGAUGCUGUGUUUUUCAGCUCCAUCAGGUCAUUUAUGUUCUUCUCUAAACUGGUAAUUCUAGUUAGCAAUUCCUCUAACCUUUUUUCAAGGUUCUUAGCUUCCUUGCUUUGGGUUAGAACAUGCUCCUUUAGCUCAGAGGAGUUUGUUAUUAUCCACCUUCUGAAGCCUACUUCUGUCAAUUCGUGAAACUUAUUCUCUGUCCAGUUUUGUUCCCUUGCUGGUUAGGAGUUGUGAUCCUUUGGAGGAGAAGAUGUGUUCUGGUUUUUGGAAUUUUCAGCCUUUUGCUCUGGCUUUUCCUCAUCUUUGUGCAUUUAUCUACCUUUGGUCUUUGAUGUUGGUGACCUUUGGAUAGCGGUUUUGUGUGGACAUCCUUUUUGUUGAGGUCAAUGCUAUUCCUUUCUGUUUGUUAAUUUUCCUUCUAACAGUCAGGCCCCUCUGCUGCAGAUAUGCUGGAGUUUGCUGGAGGUCCACUCCAGCCCUGUUUGCCUAGAUAUCACCAGCGGAGUCUACAGAACAGCAAAGACUGCUGCCUGUUCCUUCUUCUGGAAGCUUCGUCCCAGAGGGGCACCCGCCUGAUGCCAACUGAAGCUCUCCUGUAUGAGGUUUCUGUCGACCGCUGCUGGGAGCCGUCUCCCAGUCAGGAGGCACGAGGGUCAGGGACCCACUUGAGGAGGCAGUCUGUCCCUUAGCAGAGCUUGAGUGCUAUGCUGGGAGAUCCCCUGCUCUCUUCAGAGCCAGCAGGCAGGAAAGUUUAAGUCUGCUGAAGCUGCGUCCACAGGCGCCCCGUUCCCCAGGUGCUCUGUCCCAGGGAGAUGGGAGUUUUAUUUAUAAGCCCCUGAUUGGGGCUGCUGCCUUUCUUUCAGAGAUGCCCUGCCCAGAGAGGAGGAAUCUAGAGAGGCAGUCUGGCUACAGCAGCUUUGCUGAACGGUGGUAGGCUCCACCCAGUUCAAACUUCCACGCGGCUUUGUUUACACUGUGAGGGGAAAACUGCCUACUCAAGCCUCAGCAAUGGCGGACACCCCUCCCCUGACCAAGCUCCAGCACCCCAAGUCAACUUCAGACUGCUGUGCUGGCAGCGAGAAUUUCAAGCCAGUAGAUCUCAGCUUUUUGGGUUCUGUACAGGUAGGAUCUGCUGAGCUAGACCACUCAGCUCCCUGGCUUCAGCCCACUUUCCAGGGGAGUGAACUGUUCUGUCUCACUGACAUUUCAGGUGCCACUGGGGUAUAAAAAAAACUCCUACAGCUAGCUCAAUGUCUGCCCAAACAGCCACCCAGAUUUGUGCUUGAAACCCAGAGCCAUGGUGGUGUAGGCACCUGAGGGAAUCUCCUGGUCUGCGGGUUGCAAAGACCAUGGGAAAAGCAUAGAAUCUGAGCUGGAUAGCACCGUUCCUCAUGGCACAGUACCUCAGGGCUUCCCUUGGCUAGGGGAGGGAGUUCCCCGACCCCUUGUGCUUCCCAGGUGAGGCAAUGUCCCACCCUGCUUUGGCUCGCCCUCUGUGGGCUGCACCCACUGUCUAACCAGUCCCAAUGAGAUAAGCCAGGUACCUCACUUGGAAAUGCAGAAAUCUCCCGCCUUCUGUGUUGAUCUCACUGGGAGCUGCUGACCGGAGCUAUUCCUAUUUGACCAUCUUGCCAGCCACCUGGAAGGAUAUCAAAAUAUUCUACCCCAAAAUAUGGCUCCCUGGUAUAAUGAGUGUUUUAAACUAAAAACUCUUAGAGACCAUCAAGUACUGGAAGAGAAUUUUCCUUAUCUAUGCAGAGACAGGACUGACCCGCUGAGGACAAGUGUUCUAGUUCCCCUGCCUCUUAUUCUCCAUUGCAAAAAGAAGACCAAAAAUGUAACCACAUCUGAACAGACCCCCUUUGAAGAUAAGCACUGUUUCCAAGGACCAUGUAAAUUCCAAACAGAACUAUUCACCUGUUAAUUUCUGUUCCCUGGUCAUCAUACUGCCCCUCAAUAGAAUUCCUCUUCUCCCUACUCCCAUAACCUGUUUUCUGUAAUCUCAAGAUGAUGUAUAAGCUUCUGUACCUUGUAAAUUGAAAAAACUGAUUGAGGCAAGUCUCAAUCCUUUUAGAUUUGCCAGAGUUGCCCACUUUUGGCAAAGAUUUGCCAAAAUUGCUCUUGAUGUGCACCAGGAGACAGGUCUAUGUCUUUCUCCAAAGACGAUUUUGAGGGCUUCAAGGAGAAAGGGCAGAUAUUGAGGGAAUACACAAUUUUCAUGUGAGAGGGGGUAGAGGAAAUAGUCAUUCCUGCCUUCCUCUGGCUCAGUGAAUCUGCAGUUUUACAUACAGUAACAUAGACAGUAGGUCAGGGGAAGUAAUCAGAUAUGCAUUUGUCUCAGGUGAGUGGAGGGAUGACUUUGAGUUCUGUCUUAUGGUCCUCGCUUGGGCAGACAAAUUAUUAAUUUACAUUGCCAAGGUGAAAUUCAACAGAAAUGAUUUAAGGUAAAGAUCUUGGAGCCUACAAGGAAUUUCCUUAUGGGCAAAAUGUGAGGGAGGUAUGUAGCUUUUUAUCUUUGUAGCCAUCUUAUUUAGGAACCAAAUGGGAAGCAGGUUUGUGUCACCCAGUUCCCAGCUUGACUUUUCCUUUUGGCUUAGUGAGUUUGGGGUCUCGAGAUUUAUCUUCCUUUUACAGCCUAUUUGGGAAGUUGAGUCUUCAUUCUGAAGGCGUCUGUGUAUACACGUGAAAUAAAUUUGUAUGCCACUCUUCUAUUCAUCAAUCUGCCUCAGUAACUUUCAGCAAAACUUUAGGGGGCAAAGGGCCCUGGGCCCCACAGUUAUGGCACUGUGAGCAAGAUCAUCAAAAUUGUUCUUUUUUUUCAGGAAGCCACAGCAAAGGGAACCCAGGAAACUGACACCAUGGCAAAAGUGUAAGAAUUUCGUACCAGCCAGGCUCCUGGCCUGGUUCUCUGUGCAAUCCAGUUGAGCAAACAGUAAAAAUCACUAUCUGUCUCCUCUGCAAGGUUUGAUUAACGGCAAAAAAAGGAUCUGUGUGGCUAGUCUUGGGGUGUGAUGUCUCUGGUGUACUUUUGGUAUUUUGUGGUAUGAAUAUUCAUAUCGUUUGAUCCCUUUCCCCUCAGAAACAGCCUUUUUUUGUUGUUGCCAUUUUUCUUUGUCCUUGUCCUUCUGUGUUGUUCUGUUGUAAAGAGGGGCAUGGAGUAGAACAUGGACCUGGAAAGCCUAUAAGCCUGCAGUUUGAGCUGGCUCUGCAGAUCAGUCAGUUUUGUAGUUCUGACUAGACCUGUGUCUGUUAAGAUAAACUUUGCUAUGGGUCCCUGAAAUGAAAACCAGAUGAGAUUUUCCACUCUUCUUGUUUUAUGUCCUUGAGAUCUUGACUUGUAAUUAAGUGCAGAUACUUCUUCUUAAUCUCUGCUAUCUGGAGGGCAUGAUUUUUGGGGUUACACUGAGAGAGGAGAAAGGAAGAAGCUGGUCGGGGGGCAGCUAGGGUGGUUCCUCAGUUCAAGCAAAAGAACUGCCUGCAGACACAGAUAAAGAAACUUGCACAGGGGGGCUUGCCUAAGACAUGUCCACAGCUGCACAGAUAAGAAAGGCUACACAGGUGACUUGCCCAGACAUGCCCUGCAAUGGAAAAUUCCAUUCCCUGACACAUGUGCAGUAAGAGGAGCAAAGCAAUAUGGAGUAAUUUGAGCUAAGGGCCCACAUGCACACUAGAAGGAUGGGGUGGAGCUACCAGAAAUUCAUGCAUUAUGCAAAUGAGACACCCAGCCCUCCUUGGUUUCUUAUAAAAGCCUUUGUAUUCAACUGUAAAAAUGGCAGCCUUCUUCCAUGUCCCCUCUCUGUGGCAAAGAACUUACUUCUUUCACUUAUUAAACUUUCACUUCAACCUCACCUUUUGUGUCCAUGCUCCUUAAUUCUCUUGGUCCUGAGACAAUUAACUCUGAGUGAAACUUCGCAAAGAGAGACUGCUUUAUUGUGGUGCACUGGCAAGACUGUAACAACAUCAGGUGGCCAGUCUGAAAAGAUUGGGAAUCUGAGAGCUCCAUUUUCUACUGCUUGUCAUCUGAGGCAUACCAGUGACCCAGACCUGUGGGAGACAGCUGAGAACAUCGUCACAGGGAAGUAACCAGCCAGGCAUGGUGGCAUGUGCCUGUGGUCCCAGCUACUCUGGAGGCCGAGACAGGAGGAUGACAUGAGCCCAGAAGUUCGAAUCCAGCCUGGGAAACAUCUCCAGACCUCAUCUCCAACUCUAAGAAAAAGAAAAGAAAAAUGAAGAAUCAUUGCUUGCAUCCCAAAUAAAAUAU